UACGUAGGGUGCGAGCGUUAAUCGGAAUUACUGGGCGUAAAGCGUGCGCAGGCGGUGAUGUAAGACAGAUGUGAAAUCCCCCGGGCUCAACCUGGGAACUGCAUUUGUGACUGCAUCGCUGGAGUGCGGCAGAGGGGGAUGGAAUUCCGCGUGUAGCAGUGAAAUGCGUAGAUAUGCGGAGGAACACCGAUGGCGAAGGCAAUCCCCUGGGCCUGCACUGACGCUCAUGCACGAAAGCGUGGGAGCAA
This 248-nucleotide ribosomal RNA is filed under the name uncultured bacterium. RNAcentral describes it as "partial 16S ribosomal RNA". It matches the Rfam family "Bacterial small subunit ribosomal RNA", at positions 524 to 771 of the family's 1533-position model. The record is from RNAcentral.